Molecule: ribosomal RNA, 499 nt
Filed under: uncultured bacterium
Lineage: Bacteria
Description: partial 16S ribosomal RNA
Rfam family: Bacterial small subunit ribosomal RNA
Source: RNAcentral
AUUGAACGCUGGCGGCAUGCCUUACACAUGCAAGUCGAACGGCAGCACGGGAGCAAUCCUGGUGGCGAGUGGCGAACGGGUGAGUAAUAUAUCGGAACGUGCCCAGUCGUGGGGGAUAACGCAGCGAAAGCUGUGCUAAUACCGCAUACGAUCUACGAUGAAAGCGGGGGAUCGCAAGACCUCGCGCGACUGGAGCGGCCGGUAUCAGAUUAGCUAGUUGGUGAGGUAAAGGCUCACCAAGGCGACGAUCUGUAGCUGGUCUGAGAGGACGACCAGCCACAUUGGAACUGAGACACGGUCCAGACUCCUACGGGAGGCAGCAGUGGGGAAUUUUGGACAAUGGGCGCAAGCCUGAUCCAGCAAUGCCGCGUGCAGGAUGAAGGCCUUCGGGUUGUAAACUGCUUUUGUACGGAGCGAAACGGUCUUUCCUAAUACGAGAGGCUAAUGACGGUACCGUAAGAAUAAGCACCGGCUAACUACGUGCCAGCCGCCGCCGUAA